Molecule: ribosomal RNA, 468 nt
Filed under: uncultured bacterium
Lineage: Bacteria
Description: partial 16S ribosomal RNA
Rfam family: Bacterial small subunit ribosomal RNA
Source: RNAcentral
GACGAACGCUGGCGGCGUGCUUAACACAUGCAAGUCGAACGAAAAGGCCCUGCUUUUGUGGGUUUCUCGUUUGCGGAACGGGGGAGUAACACGUGAGUAACCCCCCCUUAUCUUUGGGAUAACUUCAGGAAACUGGGGCUAAUACCGCGUAGGAUCUCUUGCUCCAUGUUGUGGAUUGGAAAGUUUCGGCGGUUGUGGAUGGACUCGCGGCUUAUCAGCUUGUUGGUGUGGUAGUGGCUUACCAAGCGUUCGACGGGUAGCCGGCCUGGGAGGCUGACCGGCGACCUUGGGCCUACGAUACGGCGCAGACUCCUACGGGAGGCAGCAGUGGGGAAUAUUGCACAGUGGGCGGAAGCCUGAUGCAGCAACGCCGCGUGCGGGAUGCCCGCCUUCGGGUUGUAAACCGCUUUCGCCUGUGACGAAGCGUGCGUGACGGUAAUGGGUAAAGAAGCACCGGCUAACUACGUG